CGUGAAACUUAUUUUAAUCUUUACAUGAAAAUUCAAGAAACUCAGGGACCGCCAAUAGGCGCAACUGAAAGUUCAGUAUUUCAGACACUGAUUCGGAUAAGAAUUCAUCACCUUAUUUCCUGUUAUGGAAUUAAAGUUUAAUUAUCAAUAAUACGGUAUUUUGCGUAAUUUAGAAAACUUCAAGAAUUAAUUACAGGUUACUAAUGGAAUCAGAACCGGUUAUUUAUUAUUGUUGUCCUGUUUAACCGAUUGUUUGAUUUACAGCUUUAAAUGCAUGAUAAUAUAUUAAAA
This 291-nucleotide long non-coding RNA is filed under the name Carica papaya (papaya). RNAcentral describes it as "long non-coding RNA (CPAP_LNC000368)". The record is from RNAcentral. Lineage: Eukaryota; Viridiplantae; Streptophyta; Magnoliopsida; Brassicales; Caricaceae.